Molecule: small nucleolar RNA, 106 nt
Organism: Gastrolobium bilobum
Lineage: Eukaryota; Viridiplantae; Streptophyta; Magnoliopsida; Fabales; Fabaceae
Source: RefSeq, a predicted model, not a curated record
ACUCCAUGGUUGAGACAUUUUCUGAGUAGAUCUUUGUAUCGCUCCCAUGCUUCAUAUAAAUUCUCUCCAUCAUGCAUCUGAAAUGAAGUGAUGUCAGAUCUGGCUU